This 257-nucleotide ribosomal RNA is filed under the name uncultured bacterium. RNAcentral describes it as "partial 16S ribosomal RNA". It matches the Rfam family "Bacterial small subunit ribosomal RNA", at positions 99 to 354 of the family's 1533-position model. The record is from RNAcentral.
CGAACGGGUGAGUAACGCGUGAGUAACCUGCCUCAUACAACGGGAUACCUGAGGGAAACUUCAGUUAAUACGGUAUAAGACCACACUGCCGCAUGGCAGAGGGGUAAAAGGAGCAAUCCGGUAUGAGAUGGACUCGCGUCGCAUUAGCUAGUUGGUGAGGUAACGGCCCACCAAGGCGACGAUGCGUAGCCGACCUGAGAGGGUGAACGGCCACAUUGGGACUGAGACACGGCCCAAACUCCUACGGGAGGCAGCAG